RNAcentral lists this ribosomal RNA (446 nucleotides) under uncultured bacterium. Its description in RNAcentral is "partial 16S ribosomal RNA". It matches the Rfam family "Bacterial small subunit ribosomal RNA", at positions 338 to 795 of the family's 1533-position model. The record is from RNAcentral.
CCUACGGGUGGCAGCAGUCGAGAAUUAUUCACAAUGGGGGAAACCCUGAUGCUGCGACGCCGCGUGGGGGAAUGAAGGUCUUCGGAUUUUAAACCCCUGUCAUGGGGGAGCAAAUUAAGAAGAUAGUAGCACAAGAGGAAGAGACGGCUAACUCUGUGGCAGCAGCCGCGGUAAUACAGAGGUCGCAAGCGUUGUUCGGAAUCACUGGGCGUAAAGCGGGCGUAGGCUGUUUCGUAAGUCGUGUGUGAAAGGCUCGGGCUUAACCCGCGGACGGAACAUGAUACUGCGAGACUAGAGUAAUGGAGGGGGAACCGGAAUUCUUGGUGUAGCAGUGAAAUGCGUAGAUAUCGAGAGGAACACUCGUGGCGAAGGCGGGUUCCUGGACCUUAACUGACGCUGAGGCACGAAGGCCAGGGGAGCGAAAGGGAUUAGAUACCCCUGUAGUC